UACAGAGGUCCCAAGCGUUGUUCGGAUUCACUGGGCGUAAAGGGUGCGUAGGUGGCGAGGUAAGUCGGAUGUGAAAUCUCCGAGCUCAACUCGGAAAUGGCAUUGGAAACUACCUUGCUCGAGGGUUGGAGGGGGGACUGGAAUGCUUGGUGUAGCAGUGAAAUGCGUAGAUAUCAAGCGGAACACCAGUGGCGAAGGCGAGUCCCUGGACAACUCCUGACACUGAGGCACGAAAGCUAGGGGAGCAAACAGG
RNAcentral lists this ribosomal RNA (253 nucleotides) under uncultured bacterium. Its description in RNAcentral is "partial 16S ribosomal RNA". It matches the Rfam family "Bacterial small subunit ribosomal RNA", at positions 524 to 776 of the family's 1533-position model. The record is from RNAcentral.